RNAcentral lists this unclassified non-coding RNA (212 nucleotides) under uncultured Orbiliales. RNAcentral describes it as "sequence contains ITS1". The record is from RNAcentral. Lineage: Eukaryota; Fungi; Ascomycota; Orbiliomycetes; Orbiliales.
GACAUGUUCCGUCUCAGCACUGACCCGCCCGAUCAUCGAGAGAUGUGACGGCAGGCCCAUGUGUGUCUACCCUUUGUGAAACGUACACCUUUGCUUCGGCAGCACCUUGCGGGCAACCGUUCGGGUAAGGCUGCCAGAGGCUCACAACAAAACUAGUUGAUGAAAUGUCAUGCUGUCUGAUACAACGCAAUUUGAGAAAUCAAAUACUGUUA